CCUUCCGGUAGGUGAACCUGCGGAAGGAUCAUUACCGAGUGAGGGCCCUCUGGGUCCAACCUCCCACCCGUGUUUAUUUUACCUUGUUGCUUCGGCGGGCCCGCCUUAACUGGCCGCCGGGGGGCUUACGCCCCCGGGCCCGCGCCCGCCGAAGACACCCUCGAACUCUGUCUGAAGAUUGUAGUCUGAGUGAAAAUAUAAAUUAUUUAAAACUUUCAACAACGGAUCUCUUGGUUCCGGCAUCGAUGAAGAACGCAGCGAAAUGCGAUACGUAAUGUGAAUUGCAAAUUCAGUGAAUCAUCGAGUCUUUGAACGCACAUUGCGCCCCCUGGUAUUCCGGGGGGCAUGCCUGUCCGAGCGUCAUUGCUGCCCUCAAGCACGGCUUGUGUGUUGGGCCCCGUCCUCCGAUCCCGGGGGACGGGCCCGAAAGGCAGCGGCGGCACCGCGUCCGGUCCUCGAGCGUAUGGGGCUUUGUCACCCGCUCUGUAGGCCCGGCCGGCGCUUGCCGAUCAACCCGAAUUUUUAUCCAGGUUGACCUCGGAUCAGGUAGGGAUACCCGAUGAACUUAAGCAUAUCAUUAC
This 581-nucleotide small RNA is filed under the name Penicillium chrysogenum. Its description in RNAcentral is "eukaryotic LSU rRNA". The stretch from base 211 to 363 matches the Rfam family "5.8S ribosomal RNA". The record is from RNAcentral. Lineage: Eukaryota; Fungi; Ascomycota; Eurotiomycetes; Eurotiales; Aspergillaceae.